UUAAGCGACUAAGCGUACACGGUGGAUGCCCUGGCAGUCAGAGGCGAUGAAGGACGUGCUAAUCUGCGAUAAGCGUCGGUAAGGUGAUAUGAACCGUUAUAACCGGCGAUUUCCGAAUGGGGAAACCCAGUGUGUUUCGACACACUAUCAUUAACUGAAUCCAUAGGUUAAUGAGGCGAACCGGGGGAACUGAAACAUCUAAGUACCCCGAGGAAAAGAAAUCAACCGAGAUUCCCCCAGUAGCGGCGAGCGAACGGGGAGGAGCCCAGAGCCUGAAUCAGUGUGUGUGUUAGUGGAAGCGUCUGGAAAGGCGCGCGAUACAGGGUGAUAGCCCCGUACACAAAAAUGCACAUACUGUGAGCUCGAUGAGUAGGGCGGGACACGUGGUAUCCUGUCUGAAUAUGGGGGGACCAUCCUCCAAGGCUAAAUACUCCUGACUGACCGAUAGUGAACCAGUACCGUGAGGGAAAGGCGAAAAGAACCCCGGCGAGGGGAGUGAAAAAGAACCUGAAACCGUGUACGUACAAGCAGUGGGAGCCUCUUUAUGGGGUGACUGCGUACCUUUUGUAUAAUGGGUCAGCGACUUAUAUUCUGUAGCAAGGUUAACCGAAUAGGGGAGCCGAAGGGAAACCGAGUCUUAACUGGGCGUUAAGUUGCAGGGUAUAGACCCGAAACCCGGUGAUCUAGCCAUGGGCAGGUUGAAGGUUGGGUAACACUAACUGGAGGACCGAACCGACUAAUGUUGAAAAAUUAGCGGAUGACUUGUGGCUGGGGGUGAAAGGCCAAUCAAACCGGGAGAUAGCUGGUUCUCCCCGAAAGCUAUUUAGGUAGCGCCUCGUGAAUUCAUCUCCGGGGGUAGAGCACUGUUUCGGCAAGGGGGUCAUCCUGACUUACCAACCCGAUGCAAACUGCGAAUACCGGAGAAUGUUAUCACGGGAGACACACGGCGGGUGCUAACGUCCGUCGUGAAGAGGGAAACAACCCAGACCGCCAGCUAAGGUCCCAAAGUCAUGGUUAAGUGGGAAACGAUGUGGGAAGGCCCAGACAGCCAGGAUGUUGGCUUAGAAGCAGCCAUCAUUUAAAGAAAGCGUAAUAGCUCACUGGUCGAGUCGGCCUGCGCGGAAGAUGUAACGGGGCUAAACCAUGCACCGAAGCUGCGGCAGCGACACUGUGUGUUGUUGGGUAGGGGAGCGUUCUGUAAGCCUGUGAAGGUGUACUGUGAGGUAUGCUGGAGGUAUCAGAAGUGCGAAUGCUGACAUAAGUAACGAUAAAGCGGGUGAAAAGCCCGCUCGCCGGAAGACUAAGGGUUCCUGUCCAACGUUAAUCGGGGCAGGGUGAGUCGACCCCUAAGGCGAGGCCGAAAGGCGUAGUCGAUGGGAAACAGGUUAAUAUUCCUGUACUUGGUGUUACUGCGAAGGGGGGACGGAGAAGGCUAUGUUGGCCGGGCGACGGUUGUCCCGGUUUAAGCGUGUAGGCUGGUUUUCCAGGCAAAUCCGGAAAAUCAAGGCUGAGGCGUGAUGACGAGGCACUACGGUGCUGAAGCAACAAAUGCCCUGCUUCCAGGAAAAGCCUCUAAGCAUCAGGUAACAUCAAAUCGUACCCCAAACCGACACAGGUGGUCAGGUAGAGAAUACCAAGGCGCUUGAGAGAACUCGGGUGAAGGAACUAGGCAAAAUGGUGCCGUAACUUCGGGAGAAGGCACGCUGAUAUGUAGGUGAAGCGACUUGCUCGUGGAGCUGAAAUCAGUCGAAGAUACCAGCUGGCUGCAACUGUUUAUUAAAAACACAGCACUGUGCAAACACGAAAGUGGACGUAUACGGUGUGACGCCUGCCCGGUGCCGGAAGGUUAAUUGAUGGGGUCAGCGCAAGCGAAGCUCUUGAUCGAAGCCCCGGUAAACGGCGGCCGUAACUAUAACGGUCCUAAGGUAGCGAAAUUCCUUGUCGGGUAAGUUCCGACCUGCACGAAUGGCGUAAUGAUGGCCAGGCUGUCUCCACCCGAGACUCAGUGAAAUUGAACUCGCUGUGAAGAUGCAGUGUACCCGCGGCAAGACGGAAAGACCCCGUGAACCUUUACUAUAGCUUGACACUGAACAUUGAGCCUUGAUGUGUAGGAUAGGUGGGAGGCUUUGAAGUGUGGACGCCAGUCUGCAUGGAGCCGACCUUGAAAUACCACCCUUUAAUGUUUGAUGUUCUAACGUGGACCCGUGAUCCGGGUUGCGGACAGUGUCUGGUGGGUAGUUUGACUGGGGCGGUCUCCUCCUAAAGAGUAACGGAGGAGCACGAAGGUUGGCUAAUCCUGGUCGGACAUCAGGAGGUUAGUGCAAUGGCAUAAGCCAGCUUGACUGCGAGCGUGACGGCGCGAGCAGGUGCGAAAGCAGGUCAUAGUGAUCCGGUGGUUCUGAAUGGAAGGGCCAUCGCUCAACGGAUAAAAGGUACUCCGGGGAUAACAGGCUGAUACCGCCCAAGAGUUCAUAUCGACGGCGGUGUUUGGCACCUCGAUGUCGGCUCAUCACAUCCUGGGGCUGAAGUAGGUCCCAAGGGUAUGGCUGUUCGCCAUUUAAAGUGGUACGCGAGCUGGGUUUAGAACGUCGUGAGACAGUUCGGUCCCUAUCUGCCGUGGGCGCUGGAGAACUGAGGGGGGCUGCUCCUAGUACGAGAGGACCGGAGUGGACGCAUCACUGGUGUUCGGGUUGUCAUGCCAAUGGCACUGCCCGGUAGCUAAAUGCGGAAGAGAUAAGUGCUGAAAGCAUCUAAGCACGAAACUUGCCCCGAGAUGAGUUCUCCCUGACCCUUUAAGGGUCCUGAAGGAACGUUGAAGACGACGACGUUGAUAGGCCGGGUGUGUAAGCGCAGCGAUGCGUUGAGCUAACCGGUACUAAUGAACCGUGAGGCUUAACCUU
Molecule: ribosomal RNA, 2900 nt
Filed under: Escherichia coli
Lineage: Bacteria; Pseudomonadati; Pseudomonadota; Gammaproteobacteria; Enterobacterales; Enterobacteriaceae
Description: 23S ribosomal RNA
Rfam family: Bacterial large subunit ribosomal RNA
Source: RNAcentral